CACCCGACCCGACCCGGGACUGAGGACGCCCACCAGGCCCAGUUCCGCACCACGUGUUCUGAUGACAUCUUGACAGUGUUUCCUUGGCUCUCCUGGGAAGGUUGAGAUGCUAGAAUCCGGCAGAACUGGAACCAUCGCGAGCCACAGCAACCCCGAGCCUGGAUUCCGGGCUUCGGCUUUGUCUUUUGGUUAAUCAGGUCGUUGUGAGGCUCCGGACGACAAGUGAUUAGCCCAAGACGAUGGACAAACGGGAGUCCCCUUUAUGCCCGAGAUCCUUCUCCCGCCCCUCUGCAGAGAAAGACCCGUCUUGGGCCCACGUUCUCAGCUGGGGAGCCCAGAGCUCUGACUUCUGAGUCAUCUGCCCAAAGCUGGUUCCAACAGUGGCUUCAGUGUGCCUGCCAGCGAAAUGGGACGAGGAAACCGCGGUCCGUCAGGGUCCUCGAGGCAGCUUCAGAGUUCCUGCAAGUGGAAGGAAGUCUGGGGCCAGAACAGGAUUGGGCACCGACCCCCGCCAGCCUGGGCACGGCCCUGGUGUUUCUGCCUCUCUGGGCAGAAGCAUCUUGUCACACAAUGAAGAUCUUACCUGCCACCCUCCCACUUGGUGUGGUGGGAAUUGGAAAAUGAAGAGCCAUACCAAAGAGAAAGGAGAGAGAGAGGCUGUGCCUGCCAAGCAGGUGACUGAGGACAGGGAGAUCCGGAAUGCCUGGGGAUGGCAGGAAGGAGGAGGAGAAAACGGAGACUCCAAGAAGUUGAGUAAUUCGUCAGCAUGCAAAUUUUAUGCCUUUCUUGUUCAAUUUAUUCCUGGUUAUUUGAUGCUAAUGCAAAUUGGGAAUUGUUCUCAUAUUUUCAUUUUCAGAGUGCUUGAUAAUG
Long non-coding RNA from Heterocephalus glaber (naked mole-rat), 870 nucleotides. The record is from Ensembl. Lineage: Eukaryota; Metazoa; Chordata; Mammalia; Rodentia; Bathyergidae.